RNA transcript from Oxyura jamaicensis (ruddy duck), 1833 nucleotides. It is a transcript of the gene named LYR motif containing 4, with no coding region annotated. The record is from RefSeq and is a predicted model, not a curated record. NCBI's taxonomy places the organism in Eukaryota, Metazoa, Chordata, Aves, Anseriformes, Anatidae. The transcript is spliced from 4 exons.
CGGGCGGGAGGAGCCGCCUGGUGUCGGCAACAUGGCAGCGGCCAGCCGGGCCCAGGUGCUGCGGCUGUACCGGGCCCUGCUGCGGGAGAGCCAGCGCUUCGGCGGCUACAACUACAGAACGUAUGCCAUCAGAAGGAUAAGAGAUGCCUUCAGAGAAAACAAGAAUAUAACGGAUUCCGAAAAAAUAGAAGAACUAGUGAAUAAAGCAAAAGCAAACCUAGAGAUUAUUCAUCGGCAGGCUACAUGACAUCCGUCGUUGUCAAAAGGCUGACUCUUUGCGGUACUAUGACAUCCCUAUGUUUAGCAUACUAGUGAGAGACAGUCCCGAAUUCUUGUAGACCAAGUUAUGGAAAGUCAGGUCACUAUUGGCCAACUGUAUUCCACGCAGAAAUUGGUUAUCGAGAGUCCAGGAAACACAUAGCUAUGAGAAGACUGAUCCUGAAGCAACACUGGACCAUCUUCAGCAUCUUACAGUGCCACAUACAGAUGCAUAAAGUCACUGCAUGUCUGAGCUUUUCUGUUCAGCAGAAGAAAUGUCUGAGGGACUCAGUUUUUGGCAACCAAAGUACUAUUUUCUUAUGUUUCACACAUUCUAAAAUGUAUUGCUGUGAUUUACAAUAGCAUGUAAGGUAGUCCUGAAAUCUGUUUGCUUGUAUGUCCCAUGUGAUAAAAUAGUUCCUGCCCUGAUUUGGCAAUAAAAGUUCAUUAAACUACCUGUAACCAGAUACAUUCUUCAGCUGCUGACCUUUUCCCUCACUUUGCAUGAAAGAUGUGUUAGAUUUAAAACCCUUCAUUCAGUUACUAAGAGUAAAUUCUUACUGGUCCUAUUUCAUUUAAAGACAUACAGCAUCUGAAUUAAAUCACUAAAUACAAAGUUCAUUUUAAAUAUUAAAACCGUAUGGUAUGAACAGAGCAAGAACGUUCCUUGGUAUUUCAGGAGUUGACAUAAAAGUUUCACUUGUUUCUUCAGUUUGAGAGUUAACAGUGAGUCAACCAGAGUUAACAAUGCAUCUCAUCCUACCUGUAACAAUGAAUAGAUAGUAAUGUAUAUGACAGAAUGUAAGACCUGCAGCUUGAGAGCUCUAAAAUACAUUUUCACCGCUAACUCCUUUUCUAAUUUUUUUGAGGUACAGCUGUUGGCAGAAAGUGCCAAAUGGUUUCAUGCAAGAUUUCCCUUCUUCAGAAAACUCCUGAAUUCAGUAGAAGAAAAAAAAAUACCUACCUAUGAAAAUAACUCGAGUGCUCUAGGUCAGGAAUCGGAAGUAAGCCUUUACCCAGCAGAAGUGGAACACUCAGGAUAGCUUUUUAUUGCUUCUUUUUAAAUCUGUAGAUUAAUCAACACUUUUAAGAAAAUAUGUGGGUUUUUUUUAAGCUAUAUCUCAUAUGGGUUCUGUUCAAGUCACUGCUUGGCUUAUAUUUGUUUUCUAUUAAAAACUUGAAGAAAAAAUAAUCAGUACAAAGCUUUUUAACAGCAUUUCCAGGGGGUUGCUUUGUUGUUGUUGUCACUGACAUUUUAAACAGAAGCAGAAACUCAAAACUAGUUCCAUGACACCGUGGCCUUUAAAAACCUUUUAUUUUUUCUUGCUUCCCCAAAUUCAUCUUUGUUUAGACCUUGUACUGUUUUGCAUUGCCCAUGCUGUGACAACAUUAUUAAUGCAGAGGAUAGACAAAGUGUCCUAGAACAAACUCACAGUCCUCACUACCAUUUAAAGUAUCCUUUAUAAUUUUGUAGGUAUAUUGAAAUGUAUAGUAAUGCAUUCCAUUAAGUAUAUAGUGUGCAGAAUAAGAUACUAUGACUACCUGAGACUACAAAUUCAGUCUCCAUUUUCACUU